GGGGAAUUUUCCGCAAUGGGCGCAAGCCUGACGGAGCAAUACCGCGUGAGGGAGGAAGGCUUUUGGGUUGUAAACCUCUUUUCUCAAGGAAGAAGAAAGUGACGGUACUUGAGGAAGAAGCAUCGGCUAACUCCGUGCCAGCAGCCGCGGUAAUACGGAGGAUGCAAGCGUUAUCCGGAAUUAUUGGGCGUAAAGCGUCCGUAGGUGGCUAGUCAAGUCUGCUGUCAAAGACUAGAGCUCAACUCUAGAAAGGCGGUGGAAACUGAAGAGCUAGAGACCGGUAGGGGUAGAGGGAAUUCCCAGUGUAGCAGUGAAAUGCGUAGAGAUUGGGAAGAACACCAGUGGCGAAGGCGCUCUACUGGGCCGGAACUGACACUGAGGGACGAAAGCUAGGGGAGCGAAAGGGAUUAGAUACCCCUGUAGUC
This 425-nucleotide ribosomal RNA is filed under the name uncultured cyanobacterium. RNAcentral's name for it is "bacterial SSU rRNA". It matches the Rfam family "Bacterial small subunit ribosomal RNA", at positions 356 to 795 of the family's 1533-position model. Lineage: Bacteria; Bacillati; Cyanobacteriota. The record is from RNAcentral.